GAUGAACGCUGGCGGCGUGCCUAAUACAUGCAAGUCGUACGGAAAGGCCCUUCGGGGUACUCGAGUGGCGGACGGCUGAGUAACGCGUGGGAACGUGCCCCAAAGUGAGGGAUAACGCACCGAAAGGUGUGCUAAUACAGCAUAUGGUCUUCGGAUUAAAGCUUCGGCGCUUUGGGAGCGGCCCGCGUACGAUUAGAUAGUUGGUGAGGUAAUGGCUCACCAAGUCGACGAGCGUUAGCUGGUCUGAGAGGAUGAUCAGCCAGACUGGGACUGAGACACGGCCCAGACUCCUACGGGAGGCAGCAGUAAGGAAUCUUCCACGAUGGGGGCAACCCUGAUGGAGCAACGCCGCGUGCAGGAUGAAGGUUUUCGGAUCGUAAACUGCUUUUAUAAGUGAAGAAUAUGACGGUAACUUAUGAAUAAGGAUCGGCUAACUACGUGCCAGCCGCCGCAGUAA
Molecule: ribosomal RNA, 457 nt
Filed under: uncultured bacterium
Lineage: Bacteria
Description: partial 16S ribosomal RNA
Rfam family: Bacterial small subunit ribosomal RNA
Source: RNAcentral